Molecule: long non-coding RNA, 1564 nt
Organism: Pimephales promelas (fathead minnow)
Lineage: Eukaryota; Metazoa; Chordata; Actinopteri; Cypriniformes; Leuciscidae
Source: RefSeq, a predicted model, not a curated record
UGCGGUCCGAUCUACAGACUCCCGCAGGAAACCUCGCCAGCGGUGACGGUGACCUGGGCCGCUUCGCAGGUCCGCGCAGGGAGGCCUGAGUCUGGAGGCAGGGCCCGGGGGCUCGUGGCAGCGCUAGUUCAGACCUCAACAAAGGAAAUGGAGGGCUUUUGGAGAGAGCGUGAAGGGGAGGAGGUGCAGGAUGGAGACAUUCUUCUUCUGUGCGCUCAUCUAAACAGAUUGAGUUAAAAGCUGUACUGAGCGGUGCGGCCGAGCUCCUUUGGUGGUUUUAUUGACUCAUUGGGUCUUGACCGCCACGUCAUUCAUUGCUUCUGUGGAGUUUUCCAGCUUUGCUCUGCGACAUUAUUUAGGGUUUCUUCCAUUCAACAGAACCCCUGUGUUUCCGCAUGCUGCCCGGAUGUCCAAGCAAAGCCACGAGUCAAAGGAGGUGUGUUUGUUCCAGGUAACCACAGGAUAGUGUGGGUCGGAAAAAUCCUGUUUACUCCUGAAAGCCACACUACUGCAGCUGCUCACUGGGAACAAGCGGCAAAUCCAGGGAAGUCAAGCGCUUAGUCACUGGUUGGACGACACAAUAGUCUUGGCGCUUGACAUGAGAAUGAGAAAGACUCUGAAUUCUCCACAGCACAUUGUCUGGAGAGACCUCUGCACACUGUAAUGAAGAAUGAAUUCCUCUGUUUAUGAUGGAUUCACUCAGCCAUCCUGGAAAUCAAAAGAAGGAUGUGAGGAUCGGUUCAUGAUCUCGCUGUGUGUCGGUGUGUUAAAGGUUCAGAUUAUAUUUACACUGCAGACCUCAUUCAGUGACAGGAAAGCUGGAAGUGUUUAGCUGCUAGAAGGAUCCUGAAUCCAAUUCAGUUUUGUCACUCAAUGUAAAGGUCAGUGCUUUUGACAUGAUUACAACCAUAUUCAUCAGGUCUCAUGACUUCUUUCUUGUUUACCGUGACCUUCCAGCCCUCUCCACUUCCACCAGCUAUUUAGAUUAACGCUGAAUGACAACGGAUCGUAUAGCGAUCUUUGCUGUUACAACUAACAGAACUUGACUCACAAACGGUGGUCGACCCAUAUGGGUUUCUCAUAGACAUAAUUGCUGAAACUAAAUGAACGUUUAUUUGAUUCAAAUUCAUUCAGGAAUAUUCAAGGGGGAAAAAAGUCAGACUUCCAUAUUCUAUCAUAAAGUAAAGACAAACCUCGCCAGCUACCAUUAGGAGUAUAGGGAUAGUAUAGUAUACUUUCCUAGGAUCGUCACUAAUGAAUGGUGGGACUAACUCUUGGGGACGAACGCGCCACCUCCUCUCCUCAACGCUCUGCCCAACAGAGAAUAAGGGGCCCAAUAGCAAUAUAAAUUCACAGACCCAGAAUUCCCAAGCAAUGGCCAUUAUUCCUUACAUUAGAAUUCAAAUGGCAAUUCUGCUUCCUGUUUGCUGCUUCCAUACAAUUGUGAAUGUCGUACAGCCUUGUUAAGUGUAGUUUUAUGGUUCAUUGGGUAUGAUUAAAUGUGUUCAUUUAAAAUUAUUGUUUUAACAUGUUAUAUCGUCAGCCCUGGUCUAUACACUUAUUU